GAGGUGCUGCAGGAAAGGGCAGCCUGUGCGCAGAGCAGGGAGGCAACCCUGGGGGAGGAGGCAUGCUAGUGGCUAGUGGGGGAUGACAUCAUGGCAGAGAUAGAGGUGGUGGCCAAGGAGGAGGCCAAUGUGGAGCGGCAGCAGGAGGACCCGCAGGCACAGCCUGGCCCUGGCCCCAGGACGCCCCGGCCAGCAACCAACUCGCUGGACGUCCUUCACUUGGAGC
This 226-nucleotide long non-coding RNA is filed under the name Homo sapiens (human). Its description in RNAcentral is "non-protein coding lnc-RBMY1B-2:1". Lineage: Eukaryota; Metazoa; Chordata; Mammalia; Primates; Hominidae. The record is from RNAcentral.